Podarcis lilfordi (Lilford's wall lizard) is the source of this 3160-nucleotide non-coding RNA. The record is from the annotation of a GenBank genome assembly. Lineage: Eukaryota; Metazoa; Chordata; Lepidosauria; Squamata; Lacertidae.
AGCGAGUGGUUGCUUUUAUACAGAUGAAUUGACCACAUUGGCAGGUAGGUGCAGGAUGUUAUCAGGUAGUUAAGGUUCAGUAUUGAGCCUUAGACACCUUUAAUGGUGGAGGGUGCUGUCCCCAGACAUGAUAUCCCUUGGAAUGGAAAGGAGUAUCUUUGAAGCCAACCUGUGACACCUGCUCAGAGUCGUGGGGCCCGAGAAGGGGGAGAAGCAGGAAAGCCUCUAUUCAGCUGCAACGUGGGCUUAAGGGAAGGGAUAGGUGAAACACUGCUUCUUACUCUUGGUGAGGUUUGGUCACCUGGUUCCUUACAUGCAAGUAGUAUCUCAUACCUUCAUUCCCUUCAACAGAUCCAUGGUGUUAAGUUAAUGGUUCCUUGUUUUCCUAUGUGGUUGUAGAACAGCUUUGAUUCCUAAUGCACCUAAUCUUUAUGAAUUGGGAAAAAAUUGUAUUCCCAGCCAGAUAAUUAUAACCUUUAGAGAUACCACUUUUCAAAAUAUACUGAUUGUAAUACAUAAUGUAUUGUAAACAUUUUUAUUGCAUUUUUACAGGCUUAGCUGUACAUCAAAUUAGGUUUACAGGAUACAUAAUAUAAAAGCUGAAACAAUUGUACAAGAAAUGUUUAAAAAAUGUGAUGGGUGUUUUUAUCAAACCUCAGGGUAUACAAAAGCAAUCAGUAAGUUAGGGAGGGGGAGGAAGGGCCCUUUAGAGUUUAUUCUUGAAGGAAAGUUGUUGGAUGUCUUUCAAAUUAUUAUGCCAGGCCAGAUAUUUUUUGCAUAAUGAGAACAUCUUUCAUGUGUCAGAACAGGUUUUGACUAUAACUAAAUAAGCCAAAGCACGGAUAUGCUGAUAAGGUGACCUUUAAUGUAAAGUUUGGGCUGAGUUAUCUGAAAGUAUUUCCUAAAACAGAGCCACAUCUGCCUGAUGAUAGAGAGGCACAUAAAACAAAAGGCAUUUGUAACUCAAGAUAUGAGAAGAAGAAUAUGGUUAUAUUGGUGCUGACAAAACAACAAACUAAAACAUGGGUGUCCUACUUCAUCCCUAUCUGCAUUAUACAUUUAAAGUGCUAUCAUACCACUUUUGCUUCCCCUGAAGAACCAUGGGAACUGUAAUUUUUAGAAUAUUUAUUUAUUUAUAUCCCACCUUUUCCCGAGACAGGGGUUCAAGGCAGCUCACAGAUAAAAUAGAACAGCUAAAAACAAAGGUGGUAAAAAUAAUAAUUUAAAAGCAAUUCAGCUCCUAUUUAAAAUACAGAUAAUUAUUUGUAAACAUAAAACAGUUGAUUGCUGAGUGUUGUUAUCAGACCCUUUUCCCCUCACAGAGCUACAAUUUCCAUGGUUCCCUGGGAAGAUGGAUUGACUGUUAAACCACUCUGAGAAUUGUAGCUCUGUGAGGGGAAGACGGUUCUCCUAACAACUCUCAGCACCCUUAACAAACUACACCCCCAGGAUUAUUUAGGGGCAGCUCGGACUGAUUAAAGUGGUGUGAUAAUGAUUUAAAUGUAUAGUGAAGAGGGUGCCUUAGCGAUAUGCUAUUGCCAAUAUCCAAAAUGAACAUGGCAGUUAUCACUAUGUAUUUACAGCCCAGCAAGCCUGCUCUUCAACUUGUGGUGUUUUAGUGUAAGUGCAUAAUAGUUCUCAUAUAUCUGGAAUUAUGUGAAGAUGGCACAUCCUGAAAUAUGGAAUGUGGUGGAGCAAAGUUUAGAGAUGGAGGACAAAAGGAGAGAGCUUUGUCAGAGGCCACUUGAUGGAUUUAAAGAGCCAGCACAAGAUGAUCCUGGUAGGUGGGGAAUCUGUUGUACUGAAUAUUAUAUCCAUUAGAAAUUGAGAAGGUGUUGCAGCAUUUCCCUAACUGAAGAGUAAGGCAUUGCAGCUUAAAGGAGGGAAAGAGUUGUGUGUGAAGAAGCAGCAGUUUGCUGGGUGUUGGAUGAGACAGGGGAAGAGAAAAGGCAGCAGAAACUGGGAGAGUUUCUGAAGGCAUCUUGGGUACAUAGGGCCUCUCUGAUAAUCCAGUGUGGGUAGCAAAGCUGCUGUUUUUGUAAAACUGCCUCUUUGCUCUGUUUGAAUAAAACACUCAUGUCCUGUUUGUAUCUUUGUAAAUAUUGCAAACAUGUGGUUAAGUUUUUGCAAUGAUCCACCAAAGGAUGUUAAGCCAAGUGCUUGGAGAUGUGCAGAGUUCAUAACAUCUUUGUACCUUCAUUCCUUAUAGUUGCUAGUUCAGCUUUUGUGAAGUUUCACCAAGUGAUAAGGCUAUUACUCUUACCAUCUGAUCAUGCAUCCCUCCAUAAGGUUAGAUUACCAUAAUACUCUGUGCAAAUGCUUGAGAUGGUUCAGCAAGUUCAGGACUGUUUCCACAGAGGGGUACAUUGGAAAGGGUACACGAUAGCCGUGCUUCUCUAUUUCAUAGGAUUACGAGUUAUUGAGACAGAAGAAAUCGUUCAGGGCCUCAAGCAACUUCCCAGUAUAUGAGCAGACUGAAAAUUAAACUGAUAGAAAUUCAGUAUUUAAAACGUAAUGAAUAUAAUGUAAUGUAACAAAGCUGCACAAUUCAGUUUGGCUGCAGUUGGGUAAGCCCCAUUGAACUCAGUGGGAUCGACUUCAGAAUAAACAAGCCUAGGGUUGCUCUGUGUCCAUGUGAUUUAGCCUAUUCUUCUGAUGAAAUGUGGUCCUUGAAGAACGAAGGAAUUGGUCUGAUAUCCCUCACCCUUUGGCAAAGCUUUGAAAAAGCAGAGUCCCUCUUUCUGUCUUUCAGUGAACCAACGCUUCUAUGCUUUACCUAUCUUACCUGCGUUAUCAUGUUGACCAUCUUAUUUUCUCCUCUUGUUAUUUAUGCAACAUUUUAUUCAGGCUCUGGCAUCAGUUACUUUCUUCCACCGCCUUUGUCUCCAGUCCACAUAGAUGGCUGAUGCUAUCUCACUUAGAAAUUGAAUAGUCUGGGAGAUUUUAUUUCUGCUUCUAAUCAUUUACUUACAGCUCUGUGGAUGGUGGCGUUUGGCAAACAUCAAUUCUUCUUGUUUUCUCUUGUGUUUGAAUGAAAGUAAUUAUGUUUACAACAAAUUAAGCAUCAUAUUCCCCCCCCCCUCCUCUUGGUGCUCAGUGGAGCCUGAUUCAUCUUCAGCAAGCACUUAGACUUUCUGGCUUUCAUUCGGGCAUCAGGCAG